This 397-nucleotide ribosomal RNA is filed under the name crenarchaeote OlA-6. RNAcentral's name for it is "bacterial SSU rRNA". It matches the Rfam family "Archaeal small subunit ribosomal RNA", at positions 285 to 684 of the family's 1478-position model. Lineage: Archaea; Thermoproteati; Thermoproteota. The record is from RNAcentral.
UGAGCCCCGAGAUGGGCACUGAGACAAGGGCCCAGGCCCUACGGGGUGCAGCAGGCGCGAAUACUCCGCAAUGCGGGCAACCGCGACGGGGCCACCCCGAGUGCCGGGCGAAGAGCCCGGCUUUUGCCCGGUGUAAGGAGCCGGGCGAAUAAGCGGGGGGUAAGUCUGGUGUCAGCCGCCGCGGUAAUACCAGCCCCGCGAGUGGUCAGGGUGAUUACUGGGCUUAAAGCGCCCGUAGCCGGCCCGGCAAGUCGCUCCUGAAAUCCCCAGGCUCAACCUGGGGGCAGGGGGCGAUACUGCCGGGCUAGGGGGCGGGAGAGGCCGCCGGUACUCCGGGGGUAGGGGCGAAAUCCUAUAAUCCCCGGAGGACCACCAGUGGCGAAAGCGGGCGGCCAGA